CAAUUAAAUUAGGAUAGGUGGAAAAAAUUAACAAAAAUUAAUUUUCUUUUUCUUCCAUCUCCCCUCUCGUCCCUCGUUUUCCCUUUCAUCUUCUUCUUCCUUCUCUCAUUUAAUCACCAGCUUCAAUACAAACCAACCACACCAUCAUUAUAUAUUUUGUCUAUCGACAGAAAUAUACAAAUUCAAGAACACUCUCAGAAAAGAAAAGAAGAGAACACCCCUCAACGUGAAUGCUGAUUCGUCCAUGGAAGUCUUCUUUGUAGUCGCUUUCAAUGCUUUUUGUAUUGGCUUAAUACAGAACUGCAGUUGUUGUUCAUGCUCAUCACUGCUACUAGUCGAGUCUUCCUCACUGGUAAUAAACAAAACAUUGUUUCUCGCCCACCAACUGUUGUAAUAUCAGCUUUUAGUGUCUUUAAUGUAAAGCUUUCAAUGUCUUGAUUAGCUCAGACAAAAGGUCGAUUUUAUCUUCACAGUAAAGUGAAGUUUUGAUCUCAAACUUACCAUCUUCUUCCGAUGUAUCUACUAUUAGCUCAUCAAUUUCAGUCGACACAGGACUCGUUUCUGCUA
Molecule: long non-coding RNA, 567 nt
Organism: Gossypium arboreum
Lineage: Eukaryota; Viridiplantae; Streptophyta; Magnoliopsida; Malvales; Malvaceae
Exons: 2
Source: RefSeq, a predicted model, not a curated record